Molecule: long non-coding RNA, 138 nt
Organism: Saccostrea cuccullata (small rock oyster)
Lineage: Eukaryota; Metazoa; Mollusca; Bivalvia; Ostreida; Ostreidae
Exons: 3
Source: RefSeq, a predicted model, not a curated record
AUUUCAAGAUGACGAGGACGUUCGGGCUAUAACACUUAGAAUUUCAGCAGGAGGUCACAAGCUGGAAAACGACUCACAGAUUUAUAUUACCUCACUCAAUCACACAAAGCACCAACUAAACUCCGACGAAAUAAGCGA